Molecule: RNA transcript, 2428 nt
Organism: Schistocerca nitens (vagrant locust)
Lineage: Eukaryota; Metazoa; Arthropoda; Insecta; Orthoptera; Acrididae
Gene name: ATP-binding cassette sub-family F member 3
Exons: 14
Source: RefSeq, a predicted model, not a curated record
CUUGCGAAGGUCUUUGAUGGUGAUGAAAGUUACGCUAGUGUGAGUGUUGUCAAAAGCCGUGAGGGAUUGCGGGUACGAGAAAUAGUAUUAAUGGAAUAAUGGCAGCAACCAGCGGUGAAUAUAUUAAAUCUCAAUUCCCGACAAUUGAUGACGAGUUGUAUCAGUAUGUGGAAGGAAUUUUGUCAAGCAGUGCAGACGAUUUCGAAGAUAGCACAGAACUGUACGAUGCAAUUGGAGAAGUUCUUCAUGAAGCGGCAAGCGAUAAAAGUGAAGUAGAAAUAAGAAAUAUAUGUGAAAGGCUCUUAGGAAUUCUAAAACCAAAUAAGUCUGAUUUACUAAAUCAUGGGCCAACUAAAGUUCUCAAUGCUCCUGUUCACCUUGCAUCUAUGGCUGCCAAUUUGGAAGACAAUGUGCAAGACAUCAAAAGCAUUUGGAUGAUGACUAGAGAUGCUGGAUUAAAAGUUGAUGCAAAGAAACUUGAGAAAGCUGAAGCAAAGUUACAACAAAAGCAAGAGAAAAGAAGCUUGGAUAUGCAAAUGAAUAGAAAUCAAGCAACAACAGGACCGCGGUUAGAAACAGCAACUGCUUCACAAGUUACUAGCAAAAAGGAAACAAAAUUGGAGGAUAAAGGCAACAAUCGGACUCAGGACAUCCGCAUAGAAAACUUUGAUGUCGCUUAUGGUAACAGGGUCUUGCUGCAGGCUGCUGAUCUCACAUUGGCGUUUGGAAGAAGGUAUGGUCUUGUGGGAAGAAAUGGUCUUGGCAAGACUACUCUUUUGAGGAUGAUAUCAAGUGGACAACUGCGGAUACCUUCACACAUAUCUGUUCUCCAUGUGGAGCAGGAAGUGGUUGGAGAUGACACAACUGCAUUGCAGAGUGUUCUCCAGUGUGAUACUGUUCGUGAAAGACUAAUCGCUAAAGAAAAGGAAAUCAGCACAAAAUUAAAUAAUGGGUGCACGGAACCUGAAUUGACUCAAGAGUUGACUGAUGUCUACACUCAGCUGCAAAAUAUAGAAGCUGAUAAAGCUCCAGCACGUGCCAGUAUUAUUCUGAAUGGUCUUGGGUUCUCCACUGAAAUGCAGCAGCGUUGCACAAAAGAAUUCUCGGGAGGUUGGCGGAUGAGGCUCGCUUUGGCGAGAGCAUUGUUCUCAAGACCUGAUCUGCUGUUACUUGAUGAGCCUACUAAUAUGUUGGAUAUAAAAGCCAUCAUAUGGUUAGAAAAUUACUUGCAGAACUGGCCCACCACGUUACUGGUUGUGUCUCACGAUAGGCACUUUCUUGACACAGUGCCCACUGAUAUUCUUCACCUACAUUCCCAACGUAUAGAAGCUUACAGGGGGAACUACGAGAAUUUUGAUAAGACUAAAACAGAAAAAUUACGAAAUCAGCAGCGGGAGUUUGAGGCUCAACAGCAACAUCGUGCCCAUGUUCAAGAAUUCAUUGACAGAUUUCGCUAUAAUGCAAAUAGGGCUUCAAGUGUUCAGAGCAAAAUCAAGAUGCUUGAAAAACUGCCAGAACUCAAACCCAUAGAGAAAGAAAUUGAAGUUGUUCUGAAAUUUCCUGAUGCUGAACCACUGUCACCACCAAUUCUACAGAUUAAUGAAGUAUCUUUUGGAUACACGUCUGAGAUGCCAAUUUUCACUGAUGUCAACCUUGGUGCUACAUUAGACUCCAGAAUUUGCAUAGUUGGUGACAAUGGAGCCGGUAAAACGACUCUACUUAAAAUCAUAAUGGGCAUGCUGACACCCACAAAGGGAAUGCGGCAUGUUCAUCGGAAUUUGAAAUUUGGCUAUUUUAGUCAACAUCAUGUGGAUCAGUUGGAAAUGAAUGUCUCAUCAGUGGAAUUACUCCAGUCUUCUUAUCCAGGUAAACCCAUAGAGGAGUACAGGCGGCAGCUGGGAAGUUUUGGUAUUACUGGAGACAUGGCCCUCCAGACAGUUGGAAGUCUCUCAGGAGGACAAAAAUCGCGAGUAGCAUUUUCCAGGAUGUGUAUGGGAAAUCCAAACUUCUUGGUGCUUGAUGAACCAACAAAUCAUCUAGACAUAGAGACUAUUGAAGCCCUAGGAAAAGCAAUAAAUAAAUUCACUGGUGGGGUUAUUCUUGUGUCUCAUGACGAACGCCUUAUUCGAAUGGUUUGUAAAGAACUUUGGGUAUGUGGAGGUGGGAAAGUGAAAAGUAUUGAAGGUGGAUUUGACGAAUACCGGAAGAUUGUUGAACGAGAGCUAGAGGCACAACUGAAAUGAAAUUCCACACUGCUGCACAAGAACCUAUUGUUGGUUGUAAAUGAAACAGAGGAAAUUACCAACUUGCAGCCAACAUCUGAUGUGUUUGUAAAGCAGUUUUCAAUGGCAAUUGAAAGUGCACCUCCUGAUUUACAUUUUGAACUAAUCAAUUUGCAAACUAAUGACCACUGAAAGGAUUUAUUUUC